Transfer RNA from Roseburia sp. CAG:50, 73 nucleotides. It matches the Rfam family "tRNA". From Rfam's summary of the family: Transfer RNA (tRNA) molecules are approximately 80 nucleotides in length. Their secondary structure includes four short double-helical elements and three loops (D, anti-codon, and T loops). The record is from Rfam. Lineage: Bacteria; Bacillati; Bacillota; Clostridia; Lachnospirales; Lachnospiraceae.
GCUUCGAUGGCUCAGUUGGUAGAGCGACGCACUCGUAAUGCGUAGGUCGAGGGUUCGAGUCCCUUUCGAAGCU